RNAcentral lists this ribosomal RNA (255 nucleotides) under uncultured bacterium. Its description in RNAcentral is "partial 16S ribosomal RNA". It matches the Rfam family "Bacterial small subunit ribosomal RNA", at positions 99 to 354 of the family's 1533-position model. The record is from RNAcentral.
CGGACGGGUGAGUAACGCGUGGGUAACCUGCCUCAUACAGGGGGAUAACAGCCAGAAAUGACUGCUAAUACCGCAUAAGCGCACGGAACCGCAUGGUUCUGUGUGAAAAACUCCGGUGGUAUGAGAUGGACCCGCGUCUGAUUAGCUAGUUGGCGGGGUAACGGCCCACCAAGGCAGCGAUCAGUAGCCGGCCUGAGAGGGUGGACGGCCACAUUGGGACUGAGACACGGCCCAAACUCCUACGGAAGGCAGCAG